RNAcentral lists this ribosomal RNA (253 nucleotides) under uncultured bacterium. RNAcentral's name for it is "partial 16S ribosomal RNA". It matches the Rfam family "Bacterial small subunit ribosomal RNA", at positions 524 to 776 of the family's 1533-position model. The record is from RNAcentral.
UACGUAGGGUCCGAGCGUUGUCCGGAAUUAUUGGGCGUAAAGAGCUCGUAGGCGGUUUGUCGCGUCUGCUGUGAAAACCCGAGGCUCAACCUCGGGCCUGCAGUGGGUACGGGCAGACUAGAGUGCGGUAGGGGAGAUUGGAAUUCCUGGUGUAGCGGUGGAAUGCGCAGAUAUCAGGAGGAACACCGAUGGCGAAGGCAGAUCUCUGGGCCGUAACUGACGCUGAGGAGCGAAAGCAUGGGGAGCGAACAGG